This 73-nucleotide transfer RNA is filed under the name Mustela putorius furo (domestic ferret). It matches the Rfam family "tRNA". Rfam says of the family: Transfer RNA (tRNA) molecules are approximately 80 nucleotides in length. Their secondary structure includes four short double-helical elements and three loops (D, anti-codon, and T loops). The record is from Rfam by way of RNAcentral. Lineage: Eukaryota; Metazoa; Chordata; Mammalia; Carnivora; Mustelidae.
ACCUGGCUGGCUCAAUUGGAAGAGCAUGAAACUCUUGAUCGUGGGGUUGUGAGUUCGAGCCCCACGCUGGGUA